Molecule: long non-coding RNA, 1718 nt
Organism: Ictidomys tridecemlineatus (thirteen-lined ground squirrel)
Lineage: Eukaryota; Metazoa; Chordata; Mammalia; Rodentia; Sciuridae
Source: Ensembl
CCGGGUGCAGCCCGGGAUUCUCGGGUGUCCUUAGCCCCGCGCCCCCCGCCCGCGUCUUCGCCCCGGCAGCCGCGGCCGCCCCGACUUACCCGCGGAGUCCGGGGAGGGACGCGAGCGCUGCCUUCACGCCCGCGGAGGCGGCGCCGGCAGCACCAUCGUCCCCGGCGCGGCUGCCGCUGCCCUGGGCCCGCUCGCUCGCCCGCCGCGCACUCUCUUCCUCGGGCAAACUUUCGGGGUCUGCGGUCGACAAGAAACCGGGGCGACUCUCUCAGCAAGUCUUUCCCCGUGCAGGUUGGGGGAAAUCGAAGGGGACGGGACGGAUUCAUCACCCCGGAUGCUGCCAAACUCCCAAGCCAGCACGUGCAGGUUCUAGCUGGAUGGUUUACACCAGGCCAGUUCUUCAUCAAAAUGCCUCAGGAGCCAACCCUCUGAAUUCCUACAAAGUGCUUCCCGCAGGAGAGCGAGACUUGCUGUCCCUUUGGUCUUGACACUAGCACAGUUGUAGAUAACAAAUAUCCUGAAAAGGAUAUUAUACAUUCUUUUGGGUGGUGUACUUUUACAAAUACGGCUAUACAUUCAUUGACAGGAGAUUCAAAUCUCCGUGUCAAUGACAGGCUACCACUUACCACUUUUUAAAAUUGUAUCUGCUUUGCAAGUAAAAAAAAUAAAAUUAUAACCAAGCCAUUCACUGGUGCUGUAGAAUCAGGCACGAGGGGCUGCGCUCAGCUAGUUCCAGCACAGCAGCAUCCAUGCAUGAGGCUCCGGCGCCAGGCUCCAGUCUACCCAGACAAAACCAUCCACCCGAUCUUCUAGGCUAGAAUCUGGAUAGAUAAAACACAUUUUAGUGUUGCGUUUCCUAGCUUCCCAGAGCUCGGUGUUCCUGUUGUCUUUGUCGAGACAUUAACACAUGUUCCCCUGUGUUCUAGACCAUAGAGUGGGCUUUUAGAGAUGCACAGAUAAAUAAAACUCCUGCCAGGAGCACUGCAGCAGCCUACAGCUGUCAAUCAUAACAUCUAAUAUUUAUUGAACGCUUUCUAUGGCCUAGGCACUGAUCUAAAAGCUUUAUGUCAACUCGCUUAAAACUCUCCGCACCCCUUCAACAGCACUGGAAAUUCCACAUUCUGAAUUCACAUGGCAUUAUUCAAAAAAAUCUACAUAGUAGCCAUUCUAUUGGGAAAUUUUUGUUUUUAAUUUCUGUGAUGUUUCUGCCAAAUAUAACUUGUUUAUGAUCUAUUGCCUGGUUGUAGAGACUGUCUCAGGGGAAUAGCAAUUUAUUUAGACGUGACACAUCUAUUAAUUGUCGGUGAGGUAUCAUCCUGAUCUUGUUUUUCAGAUAAGCCACGUGGGUUGUUGUUGUUUUUUAAUCAUUAUUGCCAUACUAAAAAGAUUCUUAGAUUGCCACUGAUCUCAGUCUGCAUUUUAACUGCCUUAAAUUCUACAUUCAUUUGCAAGUGGAGGCCAGAGUCAUGUUGGCAACAAGUUUUUAGACAAAAGGAAAUCCUGGCUGUAAAUCCCAUAAUAUAUGGCACUCUGCUUCAUAUGGGAUGGUCUAAUGCGGAGACUUAUUAAGGAACAGCUAUAGCCCGCUGGGGCUCCCGUUCCAGGGAACUUACUGCAGCUUAACGUCUGGCUCAUUGUCGACACCGUCACGUUACAUUCGUAAGGAGCAGAUUUUAAUUUCUUUAUCAGUAAUCAACUGGAAGUUUCUUUUUGUUAAA